Astatotilapia calliptera (eastern happy) is the source of this 8781-nucleotide long non-coding RNA. The record is from Ensembl. Lineage: Eukaryota; Metazoa; Chordata; Actinopteri; Cichliformes; Cichlidae.
GCGAGAUCUCGCCCCCCCCCCCCAUGCACACGCACGCACACAUCCUCCAACCACACACGCCCAUAUUUUGCUCCAUUGCGCUUUAUUUCACACCUCAAACAUUUAGUAAACAAUUAAGCAAAUACAAGUAACCUGCAAUAAAUUAUAGGUAGUAAUAAAAUAAACUACUAACUCUUUUACGCUUCGUCCACACCUACACGGUAUUUUUGAAAACGCAGCUGUUUCGUUCACACGUAAACGCUGUUUUGAAUCACCGAAAACGGAGAUUUUUUAAACUCCUUUUUUUCAUUUACAUGUGGACGAUGAAUACAGAGUUGGUCGCAACGUCAAAGGUAUGCGCCUUUUUCAUGUCACGCACGUUAUUUUUUUACAUGAGAUGAACUGCAGAAUGGCAGAUAGAGACGAAAUACUGUUAAUCUGACUAUCUUCAGGUUUUACACACUUGCAUAUACACACGCAGUUACUGUCCUUCCAUUUAGAAAGACAGAUGCGUCAUGGUGUGAUUAUUUUACAAGUCGUUUUUUUUUCAUGUGUAAUAAUAUUCAACAUUGCUAUCAAUACAUUUUUCAAAAAAUGCCUCUCUGUGCAAAAUGUGUUUAAAAACAUAAACAACUGUGGGAUCCUGUUUGUCUGUGAUUUGAACAGGAGGGAAAACCAAUUCUGCAGGGAGACCUACCUCGGCACUUGUGCAGGUGAAACCAAAGGGAAGAUAUGCUUCACCAUAUUUUCUAGUCUUUGGCUUAGAAUGAAGUUGGUUUGGAAACAUAUUCAGCUAUGCUUCAUCUCCUGCUUUGCGUUUCUGUGGGCGCUCUGUGCUAGCAGUGUCCAAGCGUUUUGUUUUUUUCCCCCCCUUUUCAUUUGCAUAUUAGUCAACUGAAGUUGAACUGAGCCCCACACUUUGGGAAGGUCCGCUUUAGUGAGAGUCAUGCACUCCAUUCUGUCUGGGUUAGACCAAGCUUUCACCUUAGCCUUGACCCAUGACAGUGUACGUAGUGUAGAUCAACUUAUCCCCAGGACACUGAAACAGUGUAAAGUUCCACAUGCAUGCGGCUUAAGAGGAAGAGAAUGUAACCCUCUCAAAGUUAUCCACUGCUAUUCAAGCCAGUUUUAAUGUUUAAUAUAUGCAGUACCAAUUUUAUCCAGCAGAGGGGAGUGAUGGCACUAUAGUUGUCUUGCAAAGCAUUAUGAGGUAAUAAGAAUAAUUGCAGUGCAAGCAGAUAGAGAGCAAGCCAGGAAAAAAAACAGAGCAUAAAGUAUUCACCGGAGUAAAUAGGAACUUUAAAAAAAUAAGUGUUAAGGUUUUGACAGAUAAAGACUUAUGGAGAUUUGCUCACCAUACAUCCCAUUCUCCAGUUGUUGUUUUACUUUGUUGUGACAUAAUGCGAGAAAUAGCACCAUAUUUUACUGUUUUCUUUUUCCUUUCCUCACCAAACCAGAGUGGUUAGUGGAGGCUUUUAUUAAACAGUUAUUCAACAGUAAUGCACUAAUACAAAAAUUAUUAAGCAAUUUAUUUGUUCUUAUUCUGCUCACAACCCCAUAGGAGCCCCCAAAAGCUCAAAAAUAGUUGUAAUUUCACAGCUGAUCUUAGAGACUUGCUGGUGUCCAAGAGGAGGUCAGCUUCCCAGUCAAUCUCAGAAACCUCCUGGCUCCCAAGCUGUUGAUAACUGGAUUCACAGAAUGCAGAAGCCAUUUUAAAGCUAAGCUGCCCUUAUUGGCUGUUUUUCCUGGCCAGCAGCCUUUGGAGAGUCUACUGUAUAACCAAACAAUCUUUUUACACUGAAACUGAUAUCCCUUGUCAGUAUAUAAGUACCUCUCAAACAAUGGAAUUUGAAUGUAAAAUUAUAGCACACAGGGGCAAGUCGAGAAACUACUAAUUACUCUCAAACACAAUAAAAGUUGCCAUAAGCGCAGUAAAUUAAAAAACAGUUCAAGAACUUCAGUUGACUAAUAUGCAAAUCUUGCAUGUCUUUAAACUUUAAAAUGUUUUACUGAUUACUCUUGUAACCAAUGGAGUUUUCUGUUACUUCAGGUUGCUACACUGUGGCAGACGUGUAGAUAAAAGCUGUAAUCUUAAUUGAUAAAGUCUAACACAAACCCAGUCAAAGAAACUAAGACAGUGAUAGGCUACCAACUUAUGAUUAGACACAUUUUGUCAUGAAAAGCUUCCAAACAGAAAAAUUACCCAAAAACUAAGUAUUAACUUAAACCUGUCAAAAACCAAAGCAUGUUGGUUGACUAUAAGUCAGAAUGAGAUUUCAGAUGAUCCUGUUGUGUUGAGGUGUAUUUAAGGGUGAUGACUUCAUUUGCCUUUGGAAGGUAACAUCCUAUACCUGUUAAAAAAAAAUUUAUAUUAUAAUGGGACAAGCCGGACUGCGUGCAUCAAAUGUCUGACCUCAGCUUAUCUAACACAUUGAAAGAAUGGUUCACUCACCAACAUCAAGUGAGGUUAUACCACUCAGCAGUUGCCAGUAGUGUGAUGAAUUUCCUGUCAAGCCAUUCACACUGAUGAGGAAUGGUCCAUAGUCAUCAUUUACUUUGUAUUCAAAGCUGUAAACACAGGGUAUGACUUUUCAUGGACAAAAUUAUGCACAGUUUUUGAAAUAACUGUGAAGCUCAAAAGAAGGUUAUUGUAAUUGCAAAAGUACAAGAGCACCGACACUCUUGAGAACUCAUAAAGACUUAUGAAACAUCAAUGAAAGGAAGGCAUUUUGUUGAAGCUAAAGAUGUGAUGUGGUUUUUGACUGUCCUCUAAAUACAUGCAGGUUUCUGUAGUUUACGAUGAUCAGAUGAAAGUGUGAAGAAUUGUUUGUAAAGGUCAGCAAAGCUGUUUCAUCUUGACUAAAUGUCAACAAAUAGCAGAAAACAAUUGGUCAUCUGACAAUCAAAAAUCCACACCCAGAAACACAGGGUCUCAAUUAGAAUUACACAUUGAGAGAACAAGAGAGACUGUAUAGCUUCCUCUAGAAAAGAAAUAGCUGAUUAGAUGGUCUUACUCAAAGCCUUGGUCUGACAUUUUCAGUCUUAUCAGUCCACCGAAGAGGCUUCCAUUAGGAGCAGUAAAAGUGUUGUAGUUCUUAAUGCUAAAGGGUGGCGUAUUAACCACCACUUUGAACUACACUGAAGCUUACUUCGAGCUGACUGCCAAACACAAACCAGCAGCAGCAGGGCUGCAGAGAGGAGAACAGGCUUCUUCAUUCUGACUGAGCCGGCAAAAGCUGACGACUGUCCUUAGGCCAUUCAGGUUUGUGACUGAGCUUCUUGGAGGUGAGACAUAUGUCUCAUGUUCAGUGGUUUUACCUGCUUACUGCCACCUGCAUCACACCAUGGAGGUCUCCAAUGAUGACCCAGACUACAUGGUGAAAUUUAAGACUGCCUUUACAAAGAACCUAUUCCAACAUGUAGCUACACUCAACCAUCAGUGGCUCAAGGGGGAGAGGGAGAAGAGGUUUGGAUCAGCCUUGACGUUACUGCAGGAACAGUGUAAAGAUGCCACCACAAAGGAGCCAGCAAAGACAAAGAGCCUCCUCCUCUCUUCAAUGUCUCCAGACUCUGAUUCAGAUGAUUCAGAUGAGGAAGCCCUGUGUAACAGGGCCCUGAGCAGAAUCCACCAUCAGCGAUAAAGACUGCCCACUGCAGUCUAAUACAAUUAUCUAAUACAGUCUAACACAAUUAUCAUUGUUGUUUGUUGAAUCCUAAUGGCAACUGUAGUGUGUAAUCAGGUAUAAACACUUUAUUUACAAGACAAAACAUCUGUUACAGGUCAUAACAGAGUUUAAAUGUGAAGCUGGUCAAAUAACCUUUCAUGUUUCUGCCUUAGUUUUUUAAGAAGAAAAACUGCAAUUUAUGUUGAAAAUGUUAUUAUUAUUAUAAGAGACACUACCAUUUUAAAAAUGUACUUAAAUUAGCAUUUUAUUUUUUUAAAUUGAGUCCCACCCCUACUAAUUAAUUAAUGAAAAGUGUUAUUAAUUAAACAAAAUUUAAAAUAAACACAUUAUUAAAUGAUUUAAAUAAAACAAAUAUGCAUCUAAUUAAUUAUUGAACUAUUUAUUUAAUUAAUUAAUUACAAUUUUAAUUAAGCAGUGAAACAUUUAAAUUAUUUAAUAACAUAUAUAAUUAAUAAAUUUUGUCCCUCAUGGCCUUCCAUAAAAGACAAGCCCCAGCUAGACUAAUUUAAAAUAACAAAGAACAAAAUGUUUCUCACCACCUUCAGCUCAACCUCUUGAAGAUGAAAGCCUGAAGUUCUCACAAUUUUUUCCUGACCAUCGAAAUAAAUCAGGAUCUGUAAUCUGAUAUGUAAACAUAUAAAUGUCUGAGUAUUGACUAGAAUGUAACAAAACAAAACAAAAAACACCCACCAACGUCACACCACCCAAAGAAGUUCAAUAUUUGAGAACACUAAUACAAAAAUUCACAUUGUAAAAAAACAACUAGUGACAGUUUCUGAAUGGUAUCUAAAUAUAUUUCACAAUAAUGCAAAAGCAUGUAGAAUACAUUAAAUUUUUUGUCAUAAAAUAAAAAUGCUAUUCUUAUUCACUUUUCAAUUGUCUUGUUAAUAGUAAACACAUCAGAAACAAAUAUCAAACAGAAGAGAUACAAACUAGAGGAAUAUAUACAAAAGAAGAGAAAGGCACACAAUGGAGAGCAAAGUGCUUGGAAGCAGUGGAAAAGGACUUGGUCUAAUAAUGAGUAAGCUGAAGAGGAAAUGGGUUUGCGCUCAUCUAGAAGAUCUUCGUGGUUAGGGGAGUUGGCUGGCCCAUCCUUAACACGGUUCUGUUUUUUCCAUCCCAUUGUAGAAAAGUGUUUGUUCAUAUGGGGCUGUUUGAUUGUGGGGGUGAUUUCUCAGAUGCUGAGCAGUCCAUGAAUUAACCUGAGGUCAAAGACAUUUGUGCAGCUGCUGAUGAUCUUUCCAAAGACGCCACUGCUACCUUUUUAUAGGGACACUGUUAACCUGCCUCAAGAAUAUAGAUAAAACACUUUGGCUAAUAACAGUUCUCUCCUAAAUGUAACAGUUCUUAGUAGCUUCUUAGCUUUGUUGUUAGUUGUCAGAAUACUUUUACUGUAAACUAAAUGUUAGUUUUGCAGUUUGACCCAGGGAUGUAAAACUCAAUUUACAUCAUGAGCCACUUACAAGCUACUUUGAUCCUAAGUGGGCCAGCCAGUGAAUUUACAUGAUAAAUGUGUAAAAUUACACAAAAAGUAAUUCAUUAUCCAGACUAUCCCAUAUUUCUAAAGAUCUAAAAGAUACUUUCUCCUGUGAAUUUAUAUAGUAGAGAAAUUUCUGUCAUUUAAUUGUUUAUCUAUUAAUUACUUUGCUGUAGUAUAAAUGAGGCGGGCUCUUUAUUAAUAGGAAAAGCUUUAAACUUAUGAAAAUACAGUUAGAAGUUCAAAAUCUAUGCACUCCUUCACAUUUUCCUGAGCCAUCCAGAGGGUCGGAAUGGAGUCUUUGACGGGCCGUGUUAAAUCUCCCAAUUCUUUUAUCUUUGGGCUGAAGGAAGAACAGCACUCGGUGUAUAAAUGCUCAAUCAACAAUCUCUUCAUUCCAUACGAUUCUCAUUAUUCCAUACAACACUUUGAGCAUAAACAUCCGGAUGGGAGAUGUGGACAGGAGGGUGUCCGCCAGAUCUGGAAGUGUAUGACUGUUUCUCACAUUCUUAUAGCUUCAGCCCCCCUCCAAAGUCAUAAAACAUAAACAUCCACAUUCUUUCUCUCUUACGGCGCCUAAGUGACGGCUUUGGCUUCCUGUUUUAUCUCUGCCUGAUGAGAUGGGGCAGAAAACCUCUACAGUAUGUUCUGUUCUCUUUGUAAUCAGAAAAGGAAGGCCAUGAUUCUACACAAGCAGCAUUUCUUAUAACUCAGCAGUAUAAUGCAUCAUAAAACAGUGUAAUGAUUUCAUAAUUUUUAAUCCAAGGCAUAAUGUGGCCUAUAGCCGUAUAAUGAUUCAACAAUUAUUUGAUUAGAAGGAUAAGGUGGCAUAAGAUAGUAUGAUAAUCUCACAGCCGUUUCUGGCCUCUGGCCUGAUUUUUGACACCCCUGGUCUAGAGCUGUCAUUGUUUUAGGAUACAUAAUGAUGGACAUGCUAACAACACUUUAAAUAAGCCUGUCUAAAAAUAAAACAAACCAAGGCUAGAAACAUUUUAUUUUGACUACAAGUUACAUGCUUUAUUUAAUGCCUGAGGAAGAUAACACUAAUAAUCAGUAACAUUUUAUUCAACAAUAAAAAUGCACUCAUACAAAAAUUAUUCAGCAAUGAAUUUGAUCUUAUUUUGCCACUCUAAUAAACCCCCAAAAGCUCAAAAAUAGGGGAGGUCAGCAGCCCAGUCAAUCUCAGAAGCCUUUUGACUCGCAAGCUGUUGAUAACUUGAUUUGCAGGAUAAAGAAGCUAUUUUGACAUGGAGUCAGCAGCUGACCCCCCCUGCUGUUUUUGCUGGCCAGCAGUCUCUGGGCAGUCUACUGUAUAACCACACCAUCCUUUUACAGUAAAACUGAGACCACUUGUAAGCAUCAAAUAUGGAAUUUGAAUGUAAAAUUAUGAUACAUGGGGGCAAGUUGAGAAACUACUAAUUGCUCUCAAACACAAUAAAAGUUGCCAUAAAGGCAGUAAAUUAAAAAACAGUUCAAGUUGUUGUAUAUGUUUUACUGACUGCUCUUGUGACUAAUGGAGUUUUCUAUUACUCCAGAUUACUACACUGUGGCAGAAUUGUAGAUUAACGCUGUAAUCUUAAUUCAUAAAGUCUGACAGAAACCCAGUAAAAGAAUCUAAGCCAGUGAUAGGCUACUGAUUUAUGAUUAGAAGACUCCCAAGCAAAAAAAUGACACAAGUCAAUUAUUCACCUCAACUUGCCAAAGAUCAAAGUGUAUUGGUUGACCAUGAGUCAUAAUAAGACUUUAGAUGGUCUUAAAUUUUCGUGUAUUUCAGGGUGACGACUUCAUUUGCAGUUGGAAGGUAGCAUCCCAUACCUGUAAAAAAAUGUAAAAGUUCAGAGAAUAUUAUAUAAUACGACAAGUUAGAUUGUGUGCAUCAAAUGUCUGACCUCAGCUUAUCUUACACAUUGUGAGAUUGGUUCACUCACCAACAUUGAGUGGGGUUGUACCACUCAGCAGUUGCCAGUAGUGUGAUGAAUUUCCUGCCAAACCAUUUACACUCUGAAGGAAUGGUCCAUAGUCAUCAUGUGGUAUGUACUGAAAGCUGGAAACAUAGGGAAUGACUUUUUAAAGAGUGAAGUGGACAGUUUUUAAUAUAACUAUGAAAUCCUUUUUAACAAUGCAAAUAGUUUCACUCUCUAUGUUUUUACACAGAACUCUGCAUUCAGUUAUUAGUUAUUAUUAAUCUCUGGCUGUUUUGCGUCUUUUGUCCUGUCUCCCUCCCCUCACACCCAGCAGGUCACAGCAGAUGGGUCCCCCUGAGCCUGGUUCAGUGCGAAGUUCUUCUCUGUUAAAAGGGAGUUUAUCUUUCUACUGUCGCCAAGUGCUUGCUCAUAUGGGGCCAUGUGAAACAUUAAUGAAAGGACGGCAUUUCUUAAAGCUAAAGAUGUUAUGUGAUUUUUGACUGUACUGUACAUAUACAGGUUUCUGUGGUCUACUGUAAGAAAAAAGUAUGAAGAUUUGUUUUUUUAAGAUGUCAAGAAACAUUCCAGGGCACAAUUAGUCAUCUGGAAUUAAAAAUUCACACCCAGAUAUACGGGGUCUCAAUUUUAAUUAAACAUUAAGAGAACAAAAGUAAAUGUAUGGCUUCUUCUAGUAAGGAAAUAGUUGAUGUGAUGGUCUUACUUGAAGCCUUGGUUUGAGUAUCUCAGUCUCGUCAGUCCACCGAAGAGGCUGCCUCUAUAAGCAGUAAAAGUGUUGUAGGUCUUAAUGUUAGUGGGUGGCACAUUCACUUGCACUCUGAAGUUAGUGUUACCCUGAGCUGAUGUCCCAACAAAAAACAGCAGCAGCAGGGCUGCAGAGAGGAGAGCAGGCUUCUUCAUUUCAACUGCAGGGCAAACAGAAAAUUUUGAUAUGCAAACAUGAACACAAACAUACGUUGUGGAAAGCAGUUCCUGAACACUGAGUAUCACCAUCCCAAAAUACAGCAUUUAUAAUGGAAUAAAACCUCUUCAUGUUUUAUUAUUAUUUUUAUUUGGUACGUGAGUUUAUCAAGUCAUCUAAAAGUGAGGUGUGCAAUAUUAAGGAAGUUCAACAAAGUUAAGCUUUUCUUGCUUGAUAAACCCUAAAGUCUAAGUUAGAGAUAAAGAGUAUCUCAUUAGUGGUCAUCAACUUUCCCUGUUAAGUCAGGCUUUCUGCUUCAGACUCUGAAUGCCCAGGAUUUCAUGUGUCAUGUUAUCCCUGUGAGUGUAGCCUACUCUAACCAGCGACGUUAGCAGAUGAUAAAAUGGUGACAAAAAUCUGUAAAAAACAUGAAAAAUGUAACAGAACCGCACAGAGCAGUAAAAUAAACAUUUUAAUUCAAGUAAACUAUUUUAAUUUUGACCGCUUUGGGUGCUGCCUUUUAUUUCUAAUAUAAAGACUGCAUGUUAGAAAUCUGAAACGUUAGACUGGAUACAUUUAAAUAUUAAAGGUUACUGUGCCUUUGAAAAAAAAGGAGACAUGGAAAUCGCUUUAGUAUGUUAGUAGAUCAAAGGUAAACUGCUUUUAUUUAUUAUCAAUGAUAUUUAAAGAUAUUCUUACCUUUUUCAAGUUCUGUUUUCAAUAAAUGUGUAAGAAUGCAGCCGUGGAGGUUGUAACUUUUCAGUUGAACAGUUCCUCCUCCUCAAGUUGAAGCUGAACUACAGAUUAGGAACUUUU